GUGCCAGCCGCCGCGGUACUACGGAGGGUGCGAGCGUUAAUCGGAAUUACUGGGCGUAAAGCGCGCGUAGGCGGUUUGUUAAGUCGGAUGUGAAAGCCCCGGGCUCAACCUGGGAAUUGCAUUCGAUACUGGCCGACUAGAGUACGGGAGAGGGAGGUAGAAUUCCACGUGUAGCGGUGAAAUGCGUAGAUAUGUGGAGGAAUACCGGUGGCGAAGGCGGCCUCCUGGCUCGAUACUGACGCUGAGGUGCGAAAGCGUGGGUAGCAAACAGGAUUAGAAACCCGGGUAGUCC
RNAcentral lists this ribosomal RNA (292 nucleotides) under uncultured bacterium. Its description in RNAcentral is "partial 16S ribosomal RNA". It matches the Rfam family "Bacterial small subunit ribosomal RNA", at positions 505 to 796 of the family's 1533-position model. The record is from RNAcentral.